UACGAAGGGGGCUAGCGUUGCUCGGAAUCACUGGGCGUAAAGGGUGCGUAGGCGGGUCUUAAGUCAGGGGUGAAAUCCUGGAGCUCAACUCCAGAACUGCCUUUGAUACUGAGGAUCUUGAGUUCGGGGAGAGGUGAGUGGAACUGCGAGUGUAGAGGUGAAAUUCGUAGAUAUUCGCAAGAACACCAGUGGCGAAGGCGGCUCACUGGCCCGAUACUGACGCUGAGGCACGAAAGCGUGGGGAGCAAACAGG
Molecule: ribosomal RNA, 253 nt
Filed under: uncultured bacterium
Lineage: Bacteria
Description: partial 16S ribosomal RNA
Rfam family: Bacterial small subunit ribosomal RNA
Source: RNAcentral